GGAACUUGCAUUGAAGAUAAUUGGCUGGUUCUUGUUUUUCUUUUUACAGUUUUAGUGCUCUUUGCUGCAUUGCAGUGUGCACUCUUAUCAUUACGGGUUGAGCCGUGCAUACUUGCUUCUCAAUUGCUAUGGGUUUGCUCUUGCAGUAUGGUGUAUCUCCAAAAAGAUUCGAAGGUAAUCCCGCACUAUCAAGUUUCUUUAAAAUCUUAACAACAAGCGCUGAUACAAAUGAUAAGGUAAAGAAACAAGCUAUUUACUAUGUGCAUCUAUUGUGUACAUAGAAUGAGAGCUCUGUUAAUUGGUCUGUUGUUGCCUUGACAUAAAUUUUAUCAGCUCCUCUGUCGUUGGUUUUCCAUCCGUGGAAAUUGUCCUAAAGUCGAGUACUACUAUGAUGUUUUCUCAUAGGAUUUAGUUUAUGGAAUUUUUUAGCAUCUAUUGUGCCUGAUGCAAGCUCUACUUUGGAACUGAUCUUUAGUACUUCACAGAUUUUUCCUUGAUGAUGAAAGUCAAUGCCAACUUUAUCUUCAUUCAAGGUAGACUACUUAUUUAGACCCAAUUCUUGCCCUGUUUGGAUGCUGCUUGUUUAUCAUCUAGUUUUGUUUCUGCUGAAUGGACUUUCAUGGCAGUCAAAAGAGGUCUCAGGCAGUAUUGUGUAAAAUCAGUUGGGGAGGUAGUUCUAGAAAAUUUGGGUGUUGGAUUAUAAUAUUUCCUUAGUAACUUGUAAUUUCUUGAAAUGGUUCAUUUAACUUAAAACAGUAAAAUGUGCUUUCUUUUGUAGGUGCUCAAUGCAUUGGCCAGUCUUUUAUGUAGGUCGGGUAUAUCUACAGAGAAACUAUGGUAUGGUCGGGUAUUUUUGUGCCAGAUGAUCUGAACGGUGUGUUCCAUGUCUUCGAAAUCUUAGAUUUCCUGCACAUGUGUCUACCUGCACGUGUGCUGGAGUAGACAAGCAGGGCUGUAACCAUGUGUGGGCUUUGCAAACCUCGUGUAUUUUUAUAGUAGGGGUGCUUCAGGCCGUUAUAAUGUUUGGUGGACAUUUAAUGGACGGUUGUAAUGAAAUUGGUCAACGGCCUGAAUUCAACU
Magnolia sinica is the source of this 1080-nucleotide long non-coding RNA. RefSeq lists it as uncharacterized. The record is from RefSeq and is a predicted model, not a curated record. The transcript is spliced from 3 exons. Lineage: Eukaryota; Viridiplantae; Streptophyta; Magnoliopsida; Magnoliales; Magnoliaceae.